RNAcentral lists this ribosomal RNA (499 nucleotides) under uncultured bacterium. Its description in RNAcentral is "partial 16S ribosomal RNA". It matches the Rfam family "Bacterial small subunit ribosomal RNA", at positions 28 to 507 of the family's 1533-position model. The record is from RNAcentral.
GACGAACGCUGGCGGCGUGCCUAAUACAUGCAAGUCGAGCGGACUUUCAAGAAGCUUGCUUUUUGAAAGUUAGCGGCGGACGGGUGAGUAACACGUGGGCAAUCUGCCUGCAAGACGGGGAUAACUCCGGGAAACCGGGGCUAAUACCGGAUAAUAUCUUCCUUCGCAUGAAGGAAGGUUGAAAGGCGGCGCAAGCUGCCGCUUGCAGAUGGGCCCGCGGCGCAUUAGCUAGUUGGUGAGGUAACGGCUCACCAAGGCGACGAUGCGUAGCCGACCUGAGAGGGUGAUCGGCCACACUGGGACUGAGACACGGCCCAGACUCCUACGGGAGGCAGCAGUAGGGAAUCUUCCGCAAUGGACGAAAGUCUGACGGAGCAACGCCGCGUGAGCGAAGAAGGUCUUCGGAUCGUAAAGCUCUGUUGUCAGGGAAGAACAAGUACCGUUCGAACAGGGCGGUACCUUGACGGUACCUGACCAGAAAGCCACGGCUAACUACGUG